GUGAGGAAUAUUGGUCAAUGGACGCGAGUCUGAACCAGCCAAGUAGCGUGAAGGAUGACUGCCCUAUGGGUUGUAAACUUCUUUUAUAAGGGAAUAAAGUGAGGGACGUGUCCCUUUUUGUAUGUACCUUAUGAAUAAGGAUCGGCUAACUCCGUGCCAGCAGCCGCGGUAAUACGGAGGAUCCAAGCGUUAUCCGGAUUUAUUGGGUUUAAAGGGAGCGUAGGUUGACAUAUAAGUCAGCUGUGAAAGUUUACAGCUCAACCGUGAAAUUGCAGUUUAUACUGUAUGUCUUGAGUGUACAAGAGGUGGGCGGAAUUCGUGGUGUAGCGGUGAAAUGCUUAGAUAUCACGAAGAACUCCAAUUGCGAAGGCAGCUCACUGGGGUACAACUGACACUGAGGCUCGAAAGUGUGGGUAUCAAACAGGAUUAGAAACCCGGGUAGUCC
This 445-nucleotide ribosomal RNA is filed under the name uncultured bacterium. Its description in RNAcentral is "partial 16S ribosomal RNA". It matches the Rfam family "Bacterial small subunit ribosomal RNA", at positions 354 to 796 of the family's 1533-position model. The record is from RNAcentral.